CUAAGUUUGAUGGCGACCGGCGCACGGGUGAGUAACACGUAUCCAACCUGCCGAUGACUCGGGGAUAGCCUUUCGAAAGAAAGAUUAAUACCCGAUGGCAUAGUUCUUCCGCAUGGUAGAACUAUUAAAGAAUUUCGGUCAUCGAUGGGGAUGCGUUCCAUUAGGUUGUUGGCGGGGUAACGGCCCACCAAGCCUUCGAUGGAUAGGGGUUCUGAGAAGAAGGUCCCCCACAUUGGAACUGAGACACGGUCCAAACUCCUACGGGAGGCAGCAUG
Molecule: ribosomal RNA, 275 nt
Filed under: uncultured bacterium
Lineage: Bacteria
Description: partial 16S ribosomal RNA
Rfam family: Bacterial small subunit ribosomal RNA
Source: RNAcentral